GACAGAGGGUGCAAACGUUGUUCGGAAUCACUGGGCGUAAAGCGCGUGUAGGCGGCUAUGUAAGUCGGGCGUGAAAUCCCACGGCUCAACCGUGGAAGUGCACCCGAAACUGCGUAGCUAGAGUCCUGGAGAGGAAGGUGGAAUGCUUGGUGUAGAGGUGAAAUUCGUAGAUAUCAAGCGGAACACCGGUGGCGAAGGCGGCCUUCUGGACAGUGACUGACGCUGAGACGCGAAAGCGUGGGGAGCAAACAGG
RNAcentral lists this ribosomal RNA (253 nucleotides) under uncultured bacterium. Its description in RNAcentral is "partial 16S ribosomal RNA". It matches the Rfam family "Bacterial small subunit ribosomal RNA", at positions 524 to 776 of the family's 1533-position model. The record is from RNAcentral.